Gavialis gangeticus (Gharial) is the source of this 2436-nucleotide long non-coding RNA. RefSeq lists it as uncharacterized. NCBI's taxonomy places the organism in Eukaryota, Metazoa, Chordata, Crocodylia, Gavialidae. The record is from RefSeq and is a predicted model, not a curated record. The transcript is spliced from 2 exons.
AUAUACACAUCCUAAGCAGAUAAAGGUGAUUGGACAUAGCAAGAAACCAAUAGUCCUCCCAGGAAGUGUAUAAUGUGGCUUUGCAGACAGUGAGAACCCUUAAUGGUCUUUCUUCCACAAGUGGUUUUACUCUGCUGCUCGGGAAACUUUAUCCUGCUUCUCCUCUUCCCUCCCCUCUCCACCUUAAAGGGGAAAAAAAAAAAAAAAAUCAGUUAAGGGAGAAAGCCUGCCAGACUGCAAUAAACUGAACAGACUAAGGCAACCACUGAAGAAGCACCCAUCAAAUCAGAGCCAGGCAAAUAAUGGGGGAGGGGGGUCCAUAAAUAUUGUCUUUGGGGGGAAAAAAACUUCAUGAAAUGCCUUUCAUCUAAUCCUAACCAAUGGUGGGAGAAGAGAGAGAGAGUGUCAGCAAAACAGCAGAAGGCUUCCCGAAAAAGUUACUUGUACUUGCAUGGAAGCCAGGACAAGCCACAACAGACCAAUGAAAGGGGAUUACUGGGGUAGGAAAGACAAACGCUAUUUUUUUUUUUUUUUAAACUGAGCCUGGUCCCAAUAUCCCUUACAAGGACUUUAUUUGAUUAUCUGCUUUAGUGUGUUUGUUUAUUACUAAUCACUUUGCUUUAAUAUGAUGAACAGGCCCUAACAAAAGCAAAUGUCAUGUAGAAAAAGCAAUCUGUAUUUAUAUACCAUGUUUCACUGUUUUUCAUUUCCUUGUUUUCAAUUAUUCAGAACAUUCACAUAACAGGAUCUUCGUUUCAAAGCUUUUAUGCCCUUUGGCUGCUUAUUCCUCACUCAAAUUCAGAAACAUAACUGGGCUGUGGUUUAUCAUGGGCAAUAGAUCAGGCUGGCAAGGAUCAAGUUCUCUGAGUAUAUACUUUUGAAAAAUUUGAAUGCUUGUUGGCCGGUUGCCAGUAUAUGUAAUUAUGUGCUUUCCAGUGCUUCCAGGCAUACUAUUUUGGUUCCACUAUAGCAGGAGUGUCAAACUCAUUUCCUGCCCUGGGCCAGAUCCAGACCAUGGGACUCCUUGCAGGACAGGUCCCUGCAAGGGCAUAGGGUAGCUCUGGCACCAGUGGUGGCAUCUUCAGUGCCCACCCAGUACAUGCAGUGGCAGCAGCAGAGCUCCAGCUCUGGUGCAGGUAGCAGCCAUGCCCACUGGGGCCCAAGGACCUGCAGCAGGCCACUACCAAGUGCCCUCCCCACACCCCCAACUUCUGGUGGUCCAUCAGUAGCCCAGUGGACUUAACACUUCAGCUCUGUGGGCCAGAUACAGAUACAGCCAUAUGCACCUCUGCUCUAUAGGAACUUCUACUCCCUCCCUCCCAAUGACAUCACAAAGUUAAAACACUCACCUACAGUGUCCAGGUAAAGCAGAGCAAUGCAGAGCGCUUCAGGUCUUUUGAAACCACAAGCUUAAGCUUAAGAUUUUAGGGCAUCAGCCAUAAUAUCCCAAACAGUCAGAAAUAACCCAUUUUACUGAGAGAUGACUGAAAUCCUACAAGCCUUAAAACAGCUUUUUCUGAACUCGGGUGAUGUAUCUCAUCAAUUCAGAUAACACCAGUCAAUCUGAGACAAAAAAGAAAACAAAUCAUUUGCCCCAAUUCACCCACUGAAUAAGUCUGAAAUUCCAAACACACUGCAAACUACAGCUUCAUAAAGUCUGUGGACUUCCUAGAGCAAAAACAUCAUAAGACACCUACUGAAAGUGUCAAGACAAAACUAGAAGAAACUAUUCAUUCCAUGAACUCAAAACCAGCAUUAUUAUUUUUAAUAUUUUUGUGUUAUAAGUCAAAUAAUUCACAUAGUCCUAUGCAACACCCACAACAUAGAUACAGAUGAAGGGCCAGCUCCAUCUGCUAUGAAAGUUAAUAGAGAAGUCCCCACAGAUUUAAUGGGAGUUGUAUCAAACUUUACCAUGGAAGGUACAUCAACAAAACGUAUCUGUAAUUUUCCAGAAACAAAUAUACUUUUGCAUUAUAUUUCCUAGCUUAUUUUCAGCCCAGGAUGAUCUAAUGUGUGUAAAAUUUAAGGAAACUGAUUUGCAAAUGUAUGUAUUAUCCAAUUAGGGAAAAGCAGUUUUUUUUUUAUCAUAAGCUUUUUGUAGCCUCAGAUUACUAGAAGUCAGAAAAAUACACAGUACAUGAUAUUCUAUUACAGUUUUAACGCUAUUGAGAACACUGCACAACAAAGCACUGCAUCAACCAGUUUAGACUUUGAUCCCUCUGGACCUUUACUAGACCUUGGCUAGCAGAAAUUGUAAAGCCUGACUGAAGAUUAACAGAAAAUGCAGCAAAUUCAGUCUUAAUUUCAUUCAUUUGGCCUUUUCUCUCCAUGGAUUGGUGCACGCAUAUUCAAAACUCUUCUAGUUCUUCCAAACGGGAGACUGCUCAAAGUGAACUUUAUUUUCUGAAGUACUUUCAACAACAUGCUGAUAAAAAA